UACCACUUCAGAACUGGCCAAAACUGGACAGAUUUCCUUCACUGGCAAAAAAUGAUGGUAUAAGAAUCAGACAAGGAAUCGCAAUGGACAGAGGGAGGGAAGGGAAGAAGGAAGGGCAGAAAGAAUGCCCAUAAAAUGCCUAGGAUAUUAGAGGACAAAAAUGCCCUGAGAUGGUUCCUAAGAUGAGCAUCCAUGGUAAGAGUGUUACUUUUUGGAGAUUAAAAACUCUGGAGAGCAAUUCCAAAGGAGAUUUCCAGUUUUCAAAGGACAGUUGAGAAAAAGUGAAGAAAUAUUACUGAAGUCACUUAAUAGCUGUGUCAUCAGAUGUGAUGUCAUAUAUA
Molecule: long non-coding RNA, 341 nt
Organism: Pezoporus occidentalis (night parrot)
Lineage: Eukaryota; Metazoa; Chordata; Aves; Psittaciformes; Psittacidae
Exons: 4
Source: RefSeq, a predicted model, not a curated record